RNAcentral lists this ribosomal RNA (496 nucleotides) under uncultured bacterium. Its description in RNAcentral is "partial 16S ribosomal RNA". It matches the Rfam family "Bacterial small subunit ribosomal RNA", at positions 29 to 507 of the family's 1533-position model. The record is from RNAcentral.
AUGAACGCUGGCGGCGUGCCUAAUACCUGCAAGUCGAGCGAACAGACGAGGAGCUUGCUCCUCUGACGUUAGCGGCGGACGGGUGAGUAACACGUGGAUAACCUACCUAUAAGACUGGGAUAACUUCGGGAAACCGGAGCUAAUACCGGAUAAUAUAUUGAACCGCAUGGUUCAAUAGUGAAAGACGGUUUUGCUGUCACUUAUAGAUGGAUCCGCGCCGCAUUAGCUAGUUGGUAAGGUAACGGCUUACCAAGGCGACGAUGCGUAGCCGACCUGAGAGGGUGAUCGGCCACACUGGAACUGAGACACGGUCCAGACUCCUACGGGAGGCAGCAGUAGGGAAUCUUCCUCAAUGGGCGAAAGCCUGACGGAGCAACGCCGCGUGAGUGAUGAAGGUCUUCGGAUCGUAAAACUCUGUUAUUAGGGAAGAACAAAUGUGUAAGUAACUAUGCACGUCUUGACGGUACCUAAUCAGAAAGCCACGGCUAACUACGUG